GGAGAGGUGGCAGAGUGGCCGAACGCGGCGGUCUUGAAAACCGUUGACCCAAAAGGUCCGUGAGUUCGAAUCUCACCCUCUCCGCCA
This 87-nucleotide transfer RNA is filed under the name Candidatus Omnitrophota bacterium. RNAcentral describes it as "tRNA-Ser". It matches the Rfam family "tRNA". From Rfam's summary of the family: Transfer RNA (tRNA) molecules are approximately 80 nucleotides in length. Their secondary structure includes four short double-helical elements and three loops (D, anti-codon, and T loops). Further hydrogen bonds mediate the characteristic L-shaped molecular structure. tRNAs have two regions of fundamental functional importance: the anti-codon, which is responsible for specific mRNA codon recognition, and the 3' end, to which the tRNAs corresponding amino acid is attached (by aminoacyl-tRNA synthetases). tRNAs cope with the degeneracy of the genetic code in two manners: having more than one tRNA (with a specific anti-codon) for a particular amino acid; and 'wobble' base-pairing, i.e. permitting non-standard base-pairing at the 3rd anti-codon position. Lineage: Bacteria; Pseudomonadati; Candidatus Omnitrophota. The record is from RNAcentral.